AUCGCUUCUCGGCCUCUUGGCUCAGAUCAAGUGUAGUGGCAUGACCUUAUCAGGCGAAUAUCUGAUACGUCCCCCAAGGCGUACCGCUGGAAAGAUGGAUUUUUGGAAGCUGGAAAAUGGAAGCAAGGCUUGCUCCGUCCACUCCACGGAUCGACCCGGUAUUGCAGUACCUCCAGGAACAACUGACUGGAU
Polyodon spathula (Mississippi paddlefish) is the source of this 192-nucleotide small nuclear RNA. RefSeq annotates it as U2 spliceosomal RNA. The transcript has a single exon. The record is from RefSeq and is a predicted model, not a curated record. Lineage: Eukaryota; Metazoa; Chordata; Actinopteri; Acipenseriformes; Polyodontidae.